RNAcentral lists this ribosomal RNA (427 nucleotides) under uncultured bacterium. RNAcentral describes it as "bacterial SSU rRNA". It matches the Rfam family "Bacterial small subunit ribosomal RNA", at positions 355 to 774 of the family's 1533-position model. The record is from RNAcentral.
UGGGGAAUUUUGGACAAUGGACGCAAGUCUGAUCCAGCCAUACCGCGUGCGGGAAGAAGGCCUUCGGGUUGUAAACCGCUUUUGUCAGGGAAGAAACGAGUUUCUCUAAUACAGAGACUUAAUGACGGUACCUGAAGAAUAAGCACCGGCUAACUACGUGCCAGCAGCCGCGGUAAUACGUAGGGUGCAAGCGUUAAUCGGAAUUACUGGGCGUAAAGCGUGCGCAGGCGGUUAUGUAAGACAGAUGUGAAAUCCCCGGGCUCAACCUGGGACCUGCAUUUGUGACUGCAUAGCUAGAGUACGGCAGAGGGGGAUGGAAUUCCGCGUGUAGCAGUGAAAUGCGUAGAUAUGCGGAGGAACACCGAUGGCGAAGGCAAUCCCCUGGGCCUGUACUGACGCUCAUGCACGGAAGCGUGGGGAGCAAACA